GUUUUAAUAGUUUAACGAAAAACUUUGGUCUUGUAUACCAACAAUGAAAAAAAUUUCUUAAAACU
RNAcentral lists this transfer RNA (65 nucleotides) under Neaxius acanthus. Its description in RNAcentral is "tRNA-Thr". It matches the Rfam family "tRNA". Rfam says of the family: Transfer RNA (tRNA) molecules are approximately 80 nucleotides in length. Their secondary structure includes four short double-helical elements and three loops (D, anti-codon, and T loops). RNAcentral also lists the same sequence under 1 other name. Lineage: Eukaryota; Metazoa; Arthropoda; Malacostraca; Decapoda; Strahlaxiidae. The record is from RNAcentral.